UCACAGUCACCAAUACUAUCCACUAACC
RNAcentral lists this small RNA (28 nucleotides) under Bombyx mori (domestic silkworm). Its description in RNAcentral is "ovarian small RNA-25023". The record is from RNAcentral. Lineage: Eukaryota; Metazoa; Arthropoda; Insecta; Lepidoptera; Bombycidae.